RNAcentral lists this transfer RNA (85 nucleotides) under Gammaproteobacteria bacterium. Its description in RNAcentral is "tRNA-Leu". It matches the Rfam family "tRNA". From Rfam's summary of the family: Transfer RNA (tRNA) molecules are approximately 80 nucleotides in length. Their secondary structure includes four short double-helical elements and three loops (D, anti-codon, and T loops). Lineage: Bacteria; Pseudomonadati; Pseudomonadota; Gammaproteobacteria. RNAcentral also lists the same sequence under 3 other names. The record is from RNAcentral.
GCCGAAGUGGUGGAAUUGGUAGACACGCCGUCUUGAGGGGGCGGUGGCGCGAGCCGUGCCGGUUCGAGUCCGGCCUUCGGCACCA